RNAcentral lists this ribosomal RNA (117 nucleotides) under Oryctolagus cuniculus (rabbit). Lineage: Eukaryota; Metazoa; Chordata; Mammalia; Lagomorpha; Leporidae. The record is from RNAcentral.
AUCUAUGGCCACGCCACCCUGAACGCACCCGAUCUUGUCUGAUCUCGGAAGCUAAGCAGGGUCAGGCCUGGAGAGAGGUGCACUGCUGUCUCCGCCUGUCUCAGAAGUUACCAGAUU